Molecule: ribosomal RNA, 1083 nt
Filed under: human gut metagenome
Description: bacterial SSU rRNA
Rfam family: Bacterial small subunit ribosomal RNA
Source: RNAcentral
UUUCAAUUCUGGCUCAGGUGAACGCCGCCGGCGUGCUCAACACAGGCAAGUCGAACGGGAUCCAUCAGGCUUUGCUUGUUGGUGAGAGUGGCGAACGGGUGAGUAAUGCGUGACCGACCUGCCCCAUACACCGGAAUAGCUCCUGGAAACGGGUGGUAAUGCCGGAUGCUCCAGUUGAUCGCAUGGUCUUCUGGGAAAGCUUUCGCGGUAUGGGAUGGGGUCGCGUCCUAUCAGCUNGACGGCGGGGUAACGGCCCACCGUGGCUUCGACGGGUAGCCGGCCUGAGAGGGCGACCGGCCACAUUGGGACUGAGAUACGGCCCAGACUCCUACGGGAGGCAGCAGUGGGGAAUAUUGCACAAUGGGCGCAAGCCUGAUGCAGCGACGCCGCGUGAGGGAUGGAGGCCUUCGGGUUGUAAACCUCUUUUAUCGGGGAGCAAGCGAGAGUGAGUUUACCCGUUGAAUAAGCACCGGCUAACUACGUGCCAGCAGCCGCGGUAAUACGUAGGGUGCAAGCGUUAUCCGGAAUUAUUGGGCGUAAAGGGCUCGUAGGCGGUUCGUCGCGUCCGGUGUGAAAGUCCAUCGCUUAACGGUGGAUUCGCGCCGGGUACGGGCGGGCUGGAGUGCGGUAGGGGAGACUGGAAUUCCCGGUGUAACGGUGGAAUGUGUAGAUAUCGGGAAGAACACCAAUGGCGAAGGCAGGUCUCUGGGCCGUUACUGACGCUGAGGAGCGAAAGCGUGGGGAGCGAACAGGAUUAGAUACCCUGGUAGUCCACGCCGUAAACGGUGGAUGCUGGAUGUGGGGCCCGUUCCACGGGUUCCGUGUCGGAGCUUACGCGUUAAGCAUCCCGCCUGGGGAGUACGGCCGCAAGGCUAAUACUCAAAGAAAUUGACGGGGGCCCGCUACAAGCGGCGGAGCAUGCGGAUUUAUUCGAUGCUACGCGAAGUCCUUACCUGGGCUUGACAUGUUCCCGACAGCCGUAGAGAUAUGGCCUCCCUUCGGGGCGGGUUCACAGGUGGUGCAUGGUCGUCGUCAGCUCGUGUCGUGAGAUGUUGGGUUAAGUCCCGCUACGAGCGCUACCCU